UAUAUAAAAAGACAAGUUUUGCUUACAAAAUGGGAGACCAAACGGGAGACAGUGACCCUUAGACUAGGUUUUCUUUUCUUCAUUAACCCAUGAUAGAUGGUACAGGUCCCUUAGCUUUAGGCAUCGUCUUCAUGAAUUUCACAAAUGGAGGCUGAGCAUCAGCCACUUGUCCGAAACCCAUUUGAUUUCGGAAACUUUAAUUCAUAUUAAAUGGAAACCAUGUGAAAGUUUAAGUGCCAAUAAAAAAUUUUUUAGCUGUGAAUUAUAUAAUGAUUGAU
Molecule: long non-coding RNA, 278 nt
Filed under: Carica papaya (papaya)
Lineage: Eukaryota; Viridiplantae; Streptophyta; Magnoliopsida; Brassicales; Caricaceae
Description: long non-coding RNA (CPAP_LNC008150)
Source: RNAcentral